This is a long non-coding RNA of Agrilus planipennis (emerald ash borer), 960 nucleotides long. RefSeq lists it as uncharacterized. The transcript is spliced from 3 exons. Lineage: Eukaryota; Metazoa; Arthropoda; Insecta; Coleoptera; Buprestidae. The record is from RefSeq and is a predicted model, not a curated record.
UUUUUAAUUGUGAGACAUGCAAUGUUUCUAUUUUAAUGUUAAGUUCCUUAAUAUUUUGUAGUAGUAUGCUACUUUUGUAGCCCAAGCUGACUAAAUUUUUUACACUUUCAAGUAUUAAAAAUAAUCGCUAGUUAUUUCCAGGCAAGAAAACAAUUUUUUAGUAUAGAAGUUUCCCAAGUUCGUUAAUACGGUAACAACCAGGCGUAUAGCGAUGUAUGUGGAGUUGUAUACCCACACCAUUAAACGUUUCUUUAUUAUUCGAAUACACAAAAAGGGCAUUGAGUGUAGGGGUUCUUCUCGCGAGUUUAUAGCAGUACGCCAAAGCGCUGUAAAAGUGCUUUUUUCCACCACAAGGGAUAGGUCGUAGUACUUAUUCAAUUGUGGCAGCGAAUGGUCAACAUCAUCACUGCACUACACAGAAGUUAACGCAAUCAAGUGGACAAAAUAUGAUCCUUUACGUAAUGCCUCUUGGUUGAUGUUAGAAAGGUUCAUGGUCUACAAAUACCAAACAUGCCAUUAACGAGGUUUGAAGUUAAUCAUAGGACUGCAAAUUUAGAUUGACUAACGAAUAGGAGAGAUUCGGAAGUUAAUUUUGACCCUACCAAUGAGGACGUGAACUGUAUGUACUGGUUUCCUUUCUCAAUUUGGUUUGCUUUCCACACAUGUAAACCAUGGAAUGUUAUAUUCUACAGCAAAUUCAGGUAAUAAUACAUAUUUAAAUUAGUAUUAAUUACACUUUAUUAAUCUGUUGCUAAUUUGGUUAACAAACGACGUCCUGGAACUUAAUGCAUAGGAGGACGAGCCUGUAUUGCUUCCUUGUAUAAAUACUGUUCGAUUGACCAUUAUUUAGUUAGAGUUAUAGGUAAUUGCGAACUUCAGUCUACCAAUUUUUUUCUAAAAAGGCUUAGUUGGCGUUUAUAGCUCCACUACAUUUUGCUGAUUUUGCCAUAAAAAUUCAUA